UGACGGGAAAAGAAGGGAGGAGGGGAGAGAACACAAGGAUGGGACGAAUCAUAGCUCUAAACUCGUGCAGAAUCAAGAGUCAAGAACCAAGAAGGAACUGGAGAGCUAGGAUUUAUUUAAGGCCAUCUAUGUCUAUGAUUUGUCCAUGGCUAUUUAAGCAUAACUUGAAUAUAUAUAUUCAACAUUAUAACAAUGUUUUUUAAAUUAGAGGCGUGAAUUAGUAAAGUGCUUAUAGAGAACAUGUCUUUAAGUUAAGGAAUAGAUUGAGGAGCUAAAUGGAGAAAGAUGGAAUCGGUUCAAGGUGUGGCACUGGCAGCAGCAAAGAUGUUUGGUGUGCUGCCAGAGGAGGGGAUGGCACUGCUGGUGGGUGUGCCCACGGUGUUCACUGCCAAACUGCCAGGUGGAGGUUUCUUCACUGGUACAACCACGCUCCUUGACUGGUGCAGGAUUCUUCCAUGUUUUCCUUUCUGAACAGACUGAGAUGGGGAGGAGUGAAGAAGCGUUGAGGAGCCUCUAUAAAAAGACUGAUAGGAGGCCCAUGUAAACACAGACUGUGGUUGCGGUAUUCUCAACCACAUAAUACACUUUCGCUGAUGCGGUUGCUUAAACGAUUAUUUUUUUAAAUCAUGGUUUAUAUAUUUUCCAGGUUAUCUGUAUUAGCAACCUAAUCUUUUAGUAAAGAAAAAAAAAUCACUUAUUGGACCUUUAAGCCAAUGAGUCGAAAGCAUUCGAGUAUUUCUUCAGAGUAUUUCUUCAUAGUGAAUUUUACAGCCUACUGUCCUCUGACCUGAGAGUAACCUCCAUCACAUUAUCUUCAUG
Molecule: long non-coding RNA, 819 nt
Organism: Pangasianodon hypophthalmus (striped catfish)
Lineage: Eukaryota; Metazoa; Chordata; Actinopteri; Siluriformes; Pangasiidae
Exons: 3
Source: RefSeq, a predicted model, not a curated record